GGCUCAGGAUGAACGCUAGCUACAGGCUUAACACAUGCAAGUCGAGGGGCAGCAUGGUUGUUGCUGCAACAACCGAUGGCGACCGGCGCACGGGUGAGUAACGCGUAUCCAACCUGGCCCUUAGUAGGGGAUAGCCCGGCGAAAGUCGGAUUAAUACCCUAUGUUUUCCGUUGCGGACAUCUAAGAUGGAACAAAGGCUUGCCGCUAAGGGAUGGGGAUGCGUCUGAUUAGAUGAUAGGCGGGGUAACGGCCCACCUAGUCGACGAUCAGUAGGGUUCUGAGAGGAAGGUCCCCCACAUUGGAACUGAGACACGGUCCAAACUCCUACGGGAGGCAGCAGUGAGGAAUAUUGGUCAAUGGUCGAGAGACUGAACCAGCCAAGUAGCGUGCAGGAAGACGGCCCUAUGGGUUGUAAACUGCUUUUAUGCGGGGAUAAAGUCACCUACGUGUAGGUGUUUGUAGGUACCGCAUGAAUAAGGACCGGCUAAUUCCGUGCCAGCAGCUGC
Molecule: ribosomal RNA, 506 nt
Filed under: uncultured bacterium
Lineage: Bacteria
Description: bacterial SSU rRNA
Rfam family: Bacterial small subunit ribosomal RNA
Source: RNAcentral